CCUACGGGUGGCAGCAGUGAGGAAUAUUGGUCAAUGGGCGCGAGCCUGAACCAGCCAAGUAGCGUGAAGGAUGACUGCCCUACGGGUUGUAAACUUCUUUUAUAAAGGAAUAAAGUGAGGCAUGUGUGCCUUUUUGUAUGUACUUUAUGAAUAAGGAUCGGCGAAAUCUGUGCCAGCAGCCGCGGUAACACGGAGGAUCCGAGCGUUAUCCGGAUGUAUUGGGGUUAAAGGGAGCGUAGAGGGGUUGUUAAGUCAGUUGUGAAAGUUUGCGGCUCAACCGUAAAAUUGCAAUUGAUACUGGCAGUCUAGAGUAGAGUUGAGGUAGGCGGAAUUCGUGGUGUAGCGGUGAAAUGCUUAGAUAUCACGAAGAACACCGAUUGCGAAGGCAGCUUACUAGACUGCCACUGACAUUGAUGCUCGAAAGUGUGGGUAUCAAACAGGAUUAGAUACCCCGGUAGUC
This 460-nucleotide ribosomal RNA is filed under the name uncultured bacterium. RNAcentral describes it as "partial 16S ribosomal RNA". It matches the Rfam family "Bacterial small subunit ribosomal RNA", at positions 338 to 795 of the family's 1533-position model. The record is from RNAcentral.